RNAcentral lists this ribosomal RNA (492 nucleotides) under uncultured bacterium. Its description in RNAcentral is "partial 16S ribosomal RNA". It matches the Rfam family "Bacterial small subunit ribosomal RNA", at positions 29 to 507 of the family's 1533-position model. The record is from RNAcentral.
AGUGAACGCUGGCGGUAGGCCUAACACAUGCAAGUCGAACGGCAGCACAGUAAGAGCUUGCUCUUACGGGUGGCGAGUGGCGGACGGGUGAGGAAUACAUCGGAAUCUACUUUUUCGUGGGGGUUAAGGAAGGAAAAGUUACGAUAAAACCGAAACCGCCGAAGGGUGGAAGGAGGGGGAACUUCGAACCUGCCGGGUAUGAAGUGGCGGAUUUCGGAUUAGCUAGUGGGGGGGGUAAAGGCCCACCAAGGCGCGGAUCGGUGGCUGGUCUGCGAGGAUGAUCAGCCACACUGGAACUGAGACACGGUCCAGACUCCUACGGGAGGCAGCAGUGGGGAAUAUUGGACAAUGGGCGCAAGCCUGAUCCAGCCAUACCGCGUGGGUGAAGAAGGCCUUCGGGUUGUAAAGCCCUUUUGUUGGGAAAGAAAAGCAGCAGGUUAAUACCCCGCUGUUCUGACGGUACCCAAAGAAUAAGCACCGGCUAACUUCGUG